This 460-nucleotide ribosomal RNA is filed under the name uncultured bacterium. RNAcentral describes it as "partial 16S ribosomal RNA". It matches the Rfam family "Bacterial small subunit ribosomal RNA", at positions 338 to 795 of the family's 1533-position model. The record is from RNAcentral.
CCUACGGGAGGCAGCAGUGAGGAAUAUUCGUCAAUGGACGAGAGUCUGAACCAGCCAAGUAGCGUGAAGGAUGACUGCCCUAUGGGUUGUAAACUUCUUUUAUAUGGGAAUAAAAUGUUCCACGUGUGGGAUUUUGUAUGUACCAUAUGAAUAAGGAUCGGCUAACUCCGUGCCAGCAGCCGCGGUAAUACGGAGGAUCCGAGCGUUAUCCGGAUUUAGUGUGUUUAAAGGGAGCGUAGGUGGAUUGUUAAGUCAGUUGUGAAAGUUUGCGGCUCAAACGUAAAAUUGCAGUUGAAACUGGCAGUCUUGAGUACAGUAGAGGUGGGUGGAAUUCGUGGUGUAGCGGUGAAAUGCGUAGAUAUCACGAAGAACUCCGAUUGCGAAGGCAGUUCACUGGACUGCAACUGACACUGAGGCUCGAAAGUGUGGGUAUCAAACAGGAUUAGAUACCCUUGUAGUC